RNAcentral lists this unclassified non-coding RNA (331 nucleotides) under uncultured fungus. RNAcentral describes it as "partial contains 5.8S ribosomal RNA and internal transcribed spacer 2". The stretch from base 1 to 133 matches the Rfam family "5.8S ribosomal RNA", at positions 22 to 154 of the family's 154-position model. The record is from RNAcentral. Lineage: Eukaryota; Fungi.
UGGUUCUGGCAUCGAUGAAGAACGCAGCGAAAUGCGAUAAGUAAUGCGAAUUGCAGAAUUCAGUGAGUCAUCGAAUCUUUGAACGCACAUUGCGCCCUUUAGUAUUCUGAAGGGCAUGCCUGUUCGAGCGUCAUUAUCACUAUUCAAGCCUGGCUUGCUGUUGGACCGCUCGUCGGUGAAAGUCGACUGGCCCUAAAGAUAAUGACGGCGUUAUUUGGACCCUAGAUGCAACGAGCUUUCAUUAGCACGCGUUUAGUUUGGACCUUUUAACCCGGUCGUUUUAUAACCAAUUUCUAAGGUUGACCUCGGAUCAGGUAGGAAUACCCGCUGA